UGGGGAAUUUUGGACAAUGGGCGAAAGCCUGAUCCAGCAAUGCCGCGUGUGUGAAGAAGGCCUUCGGGUUGUAAAGCACUUUUGUCCGGAAAGAAAUCCUUGGCUCUAAUACAGUCGGGGGAUGACGGUACCGGAAGAAUAAGCACCGGCUAACUACGUGCCAGCAGCCGCGGUAAUACGUAGGGUGCAAGCGUUAAUCGGAAUUACUGGGCGUAAAGCGUGCGCAGGCGGUUUGCUAAGACCGAUGUGAAAUCCCCGGGCUCAACCUGGGAACUGCAUUGGUGACUGGCAGGCUAGAGUAUGGCAGAGGGGGGUAGAAUUCCACGUGUAGCAGUGAAAUGCGUAGAGAUGUGGAGGAAUACCGAUGGCGAAGGCAGCCCCCUGGGCCAAAUACUGACGCUCAUGCACG
RNAcentral lists this ribosomal RNA (409 nucleotides) under uncultured bacterium. RNAcentral describes it as "partial 16S ribosomal RNA". It matches the Rfam family "Bacterial small subunit ribosomal RNA", at positions 355 to 755 of the family's 1533-position model. The record is from RNAcentral.